CAUAAUCAUUAGUUUUUUAAUUGGGAGCUUGUAUGAAAGAUUGGACAAGAAGAAAACUGUUUCUAUAAUAAAAUUUGAAUUUAACUUUUAAGUUAAAAGGCUUAAAUAAUCUAAAGGGACGAUAAGACCCUAUAAAUCUUUAUAUAAGAAGAAAUUUAAUAAAUAUAAGUUGUAGAAUUAAGGUUUGUAUUAUAUUUAAUUGGGGUGAUAUAAUUAUAAAUAUAGGUAACUAAUUAUUAAAUACAGACAAUUUGUUUGAAUAUUUAAUUGAUCUUUGGUAAAGAAUAAGAGAUUAAGUUACUUUAGGGAUAACAGCAUAAUUUUUUCUGAGAGUUCAUAUUAAAGAAGAAGAUUGUGACCUCGAUGUUUAAUUAAAAUUUCUUUAUAGUGCAGUAGCUAUAGAAG
RNAcentral lists this ribosomal RNA (405 nucleotides) under Collodes obesus. RNAcentral's name for it is "partial large subunit ribosomal RNA". The record is from RNAcentral. Lineage: Eukaryota; Metazoa; Arthropoda; Malacostraca; Decapoda; Inachoididae.